GAUGAACGCUGGCGGUAUGCCUAACACAUGCAAGUCGUACGAGGGUUUUUAACUCUAGUGGCGGACGGGUGAGUAACACGUGAGAAUUUGCCUUUAGGAGGGGGAUAACAAUCGGAAACGAAUGCUAAUACCCCAUAUGCUUUCGAGUGAAAUGGAUUUAUCCGCCUAAAGAGAAGCUCGCGGCUGAUUAGCUUGUUGGUAAGGUAAGAGCUUACCAAGGCGACGAUCAGUAUCUGGUUUGAGAGGACGAUCAGACACACUGGAACUGAGACACGGUCCAGACUCCUACGGGAGGCAGCAGUGGGGAAUUUUCCGCAAUGGGCGAAAGCCUGACGGAGCAAUACCGCGUGAGGGGAGACUGCCUAUGGGUUGUAAACCUCUUUUUUCUAGGGUAGGAAUAAAAUGACGUGUACCUGAAGAAUAAGCAUCGGCUAACUCCGUG
Molecule: ribosomal RNA, 442 nt
Filed under: uncultured bacterium
Lineage: Bacteria
Description: bacterial SSU rRNA
Rfam family: Bacterial small subunit ribosomal RNA
Source: RNAcentral